RNAcentral lists this ribosomal RNA (253 nucleotides) under uncultured bacterium. RNAcentral describes it as "partial 16S ribosomal RNA". It matches the Rfam family "Bacterial small subunit ribosomal RNA", at positions 524 to 776 of the family's 1533-position model. The record is from RNAcentral.
UACGUAGGGGGCAGGCGUUGUCCGGAUUUAUUGGGCGUAAAGAGCGUGUAGGCGGUCUGGUAGGUCCGUUGUGAAAACUCGAGGCUCAACCUCGAGACGCCGAUGGAAACCAUCAGACUAGAGUCCGGAAGAGGAGAGUGGAAUUCCUGGUGUAGCGGUGAAAUGCGCAGAUAUCAGGAAGAACACCCGUGGCUAAGGCGGCUCUCUAGUACGGUACUGACGCUGAGACGCGAAAGCGUGGGGAGCGAACAGG